UUUGGCUCGGGCUUGGGCUUGGGCUCGGUCUCGGGCUUACUUGAUUUGGGCCUGUAACUUUCUUUUGCUACCCAAAUAUGCAGUAAACGGAAUCUCGUCCUAUAUAAUAGUAAUAUUUCGGCGGAAGCUUCUAUUGCAGCUCUCAGAAAUUGAUGAGAAAGUUCCCAUCACAAUUCGGUGGUUUAUAGCGUUAAGCAAAAACCCAAAAUUCAAAGUCUUUUCCUUUACCUUGUUUCCCUCAUUCCGGUGUUUUCCUCUCUCUUCUCUCCCACAUUCAAUUUCAAAGGCAUAGAGUGAGAUCGCGGACGAUGAAGAGAGUAUUUGGUGUCAAGAAGAACAAGGAGCCUCCUCCUUCCAUUCAGGAUGCUUCUGAUAGGAUUACUAAACGAGGUGACACGGUGGAUGACAAGAUUAAGAAGCUUGACGCCGAGCUAAGUAGAUAUAAA
Non-coding RNA from Vigna umbellata (rice bean), 446 nucleotides. The record is from RefSeq and is a predicted model, not a curated record. Lineage: Eukaryota; Viridiplantae; Streptophyta; Magnoliopsida; Fabales; Fabaceae.